AUGAGUUGCGGCUGUGGCGGCGGCGUGGCGGCGGGGGACGGCGGGCUGGCCGAGUGGCAGCGCAUCUACGACCGGGUCGAGGCGCUCGCCGCCGGCCGCGCGCGGCUGGAGGCGCGCAACAGGACCCAGCACGAGUUCUGGGACGCCCGCGACAAGAUCAACCAGUCCCGCCUCCACCAGGCGGAGCUGAGCAGAAGCAGGUGGGAGGCGGCCUGCAGGGAGCUGCUCCCUUCCGAUGAUCCCAAGCUCGCCGAACUGCUAGAGAGUGAUUUGGAGGAUUCAAGAACUUGUGAAGCUCUCUUGGACACCGAAAACUCAGAACUGCUGGCACAACUGAAGGAAGAUGGAAAUUGUGUAGAGCUUAAUGAAAACACUGCAGAUCAUGAGCACACUUCUGGAGAUUUAAUAUCAGAGCUAAGAAAGUUAAAGCGAACCUAUGAGACCAUAUGCUGGAACAAGGAUAAGGAAGCCACUGAAGCCGUGCAAAAGCUUCAACAGAAGAUAGAGGAGCUGCAAGUGGCAGCCUGUAAGAAGGAUGAUGAGAUUGGAAUAUUGCAAGCAGAAGCUUCUGCUUGUAUAAAUAAGUUAGUGGUUCUAAAGGGUAAACUAGAUGAAAUGCGAUCUUUGGAUAAGGACAUUGACAUCCAAAAGCUCAAAGUUGGGCAACAUGAGACUCUUGAACGCAAGAUUGCCUCCUUACCAAAUAUACAAUCCAAGGAAGCUGGAAAUGUUGUAGGUAUUAUUCAAAAGAAUGCGGAUCAUGGGGCCAUCACAGGAGAAUUAAGAGCGGAGCUCAGAAAACUGAAGCAAGCUUAUGAGACCCUGAGCUCAAACAAGGAUAAGGAAAUUUCUAAAUUACUUGAAAUGAAGGAUUUUCUUUUGAACCAACUGAUGAGAAUGGACAAGGACAAUGCAGAGCUCCUUCAGAAAAAGGAAGUGGAGGCAGCACAAGCUAACGAAGCAGCACAAAAGCUUCAGCAGAAUGUAGAGGAGCUGGAAGUGUCAGUCCGAUAUAAGGAUGAUGAGAUUGGCAGAUUGCGAGCAGAAGCGGGGCCCCUAAAGAUAAAGGAAGUGGAGGCAGCACAAGCUAAUGAAGCAGCACAAAAGCUUCAGCAGAAUGUAGAGGAGCUGCAAGGUAUAGUCCGAUAUAAGGAUGAUGAGAUUGGCAGAUUGCGAGCAGAAGCGGGGCCCCUGAAGAUAAAGGAAGUGGAGGCAGAAGCGAAGAAAGCAGUGCAAACGCUUCAGCAGAAUGUAGAGGAGCUGCAAGUGGCAGUCCGAAAUAAAGAUGACGAGAUUGGCAAAUUGCGAGCAGAAGUGGGGCACCUUAAGAUAAAACAAGUGGAAGCAGCACAAAAGCUUCAGCAGAAUGUAGAUGUGCUGCAAAUAGAAGUACGAAAUAAGAAUGACGAGAAUUGUAGAUUGCCAGCAGAAGCUGCUAAUGCAGAAAAAAAGGUACCGGCUCUUGAGGUAACACAUAGCACUGAACCAAAAACAGCCGAGGCCUCUGCAUCAACAAAAGCCUUGGCUGUUGUGGUGGCUGCUUCAGCAUCUCCACCCGGCGCAAGCUCCAAGCCAGGGGCGGGGAUCAACAUCGACCUGACCCCUCCCCGGCUUGUCGACGACAGGGAGGCCAGCCCGCCCUUCCCUCCGGGUUUCGGGCCACCGGCCCGAUUCAAGGACACAACUACCACCGCUCCGACAGCAACCUUUGCGGUGGUGGUUGCGAAGGGGGACGGAAACCCUGACCAGAGCAUCGCUGGUACUACUGAUGCUGCGGGUGGGCUCGACAUUGACAAUGCCCCCCUGCCUCCUGCGUCAACAACAACCAAGACCAAGAGCAGCAUGCUGAAGGGCAAGCCAAGACCAAAGGUGCAGAGCAACGCGGAUAAGGAAGGUGCAGAGCUGGAUUCGAUCCUAGGGAAGAGGAUGGAGCGCAACAGGCCAGAGUCUAAUGUAGGUCUAGGGGAAAAUAAGGAGAUGAACAGAGACAUGUAUAAGAAAAUGAGAGGGUCUGUUAGUGGAGAGGCUGAGAGCAACAUAGGUGUGUUAGGCCGUAAGGAAGCUACCGGUAUAGGGGCUACCGGGAACUGA
RNAcentral lists this ribosomal RNA (2091 nucleotides) under Triticum aestivum (bread wheat). Its description in RNAcentral is "partial small subunit ribosomal RNA". Lineage: Eukaryota; Viridiplantae; Streptophyta; Magnoliopsida; Poales; Poaceae. The record is from RNAcentral.